UUGUCUAGAAUCUCACCUUUGGACCUAUAAAUUCACUUGCCCUCCUUCAUUGGCUCUUCAAAGCGCAAAAACCAAAAAAACACAGAGGAGAGAGCUAGAGUUCAUCGAUACUGCUCUUCAUAUAUACUGCCCUUUAGUGCCUUCGCAGUAAUUUAGCUACUAGUAUGGGAGGCAACAACAGGCAGAAGAAAUCUUCAUCUUCUUUCUCGCUCAUGAGCAUGUUCAAGCCUCGGAGGGCGCGCCGGGAUGAUGCUUGGGAGGGGGACUCCGUAAGCUCGAAGAAAACAUAUCCGAGCGACUACGACAAGGGCAGAUAUGUUGCGGAGCCCGGCAUCGACAAGAAAGCCACGGCCUUCAUCGCCAAAUUCCAUGAGACCCGAGUCAUGGAAUCCGAACGCCAAGUCAUGGAACCCGCUUCCCGAAUUGGCUUCUACUGAGAGUUGUAUAUGUUUGUUCAAAAUCUUCUUUAGUCUCUGGACUAUUUGUUGUACCUUGUAUAUGUAUGUAGCUUAAUACAAGUGCUGGCCUCUAAUUGGUAGAUUUGUAUACAAAUCAAUCUCUCAAGUGGUGGUUUGUUCACAGCUUUCUUCAACUUGCCUGCAUUGUUAUUGUUGCCUUGUGAUAGCUAUCAGUGAAACACCCUCGUUUGACAUUACUUCUCUUUCGUCUUGCAGCAAAAUAUACAUGUUGUGUUUGUUUUUAGUCAUAUUUGUCCACCGGUGCGAUGAGUGAGAGAGUAAUGCACGGACGCAACACACAAGACAGAUCUGGGCUCAAGGGUUGCUUGUGUGCGUGUAGUUUUCUUAAAAGUGCAGGAGUAUUUUAGUAGAAUAGAUUAAAUGGCUGAAUCUUCACCAUCUUUCAUGUGGGUCGCUGAUGCAUCAACCGUUUGGAGAAAGUAAACUUAAGAUAAUUCAAUUCAUAAAUAUUGAGCAACGUAUUCUUUUGCGCCCAAGAGGAGAAUGCCACGGAUCAGUUUGUCCCAAUAUAUCAAUCGUAAACUCAUUUUGCAAAUCAACCGUCCGUAUUCCAGACAUUAUUUUGAACAAAACUGAUGAGAAAAUGAACCCCUUUAAGCAUCACCUAAUUGUAAGUAGAAGAGAAAUAAAGGUGGUGACAUUAAAGCAAGUUGGCACAUAAAACACGAGAAUUUAACUCUUCUAUUGAAGAGACGCUGCUCAGUGUGUAUUGAGAGCAAUACUUAACCGAGUGCGCUAUUCAAUGUACAGAACUGAAUUGAACGAAGUGCAUUCGUGAUUUAAUGCCCGAGAUACAUAGCCUUGGCUAUUGGGAAAAGGGGAGCAGAGACUAAUGAGUUUGUCCCUGUCAAUCAAAAUAAUCUUCCCAUGUUUGUCAAAAUAAUCUUUUAGCUAGAUUGUUGGGAGUGCGCAAUAAAAGUUCAAUACUUUUACUUGGGGAAAUAGUUAAGAGGGAGCCCAAUUUGAGCCUGUCAACAUAUUUAAUUGGACACUUUCUUUCAAAAGUUUAAACCCUUCAUGUGUAUUAAGAUAUAUUAACAACUCAAACACCACACCAAUAUUUUUCGAUGUGGGAUUUUUCUAAUACAACUCAUAUAUAUAUCCUAACUAUCUUCCCCUCACGUGUGAGCUCUAGGAUUAGGUUUGCUCCUUUCAGUUUAUGUAUCUUUUUCCAUAUAAUAAUUAAACAUUAAUAUCCACUGGUGGGCAGCUGAGUUGGUUCGGCUUUGGACACUUCAUUGCAGAGGUCUCACGGUCGAAACUCUGCAACUGCUAACACGUCUUAAGUGGGGGGCCAUAAUGGUGGGGUCCUGUGUUAGUCUCCCCCAAGGUAUAGGGACCCAUGGUGGAGUUCUCGAUUACCCAAAAAGAAAAAAAAAAUGAAACAUUGAUACACGUUUGAAGUAGGCAACCAAUCAAUCAUCGGCUCUAAUAUUAUUUGUUGGGGGCACGCAAUAGAAGUUGAUACCAUUAAGCCAAUGAGUUAUGGGCCGAGAGGGAAUCCAAGUUUGAGCUCGUCAACAUAUCCAAUUGGACUCAUUUUCAUUUAAAAACUUAAGCAAAUGAGUUAUGAACCAACUAAGAUAUAUUAUCCGCUCAACAUCACACCAAUUUUUUGAUGUGGGACUUUUCUAAUCAUAACAUAAUAUUAUGCAAAACCUGCCAGACACAAUAGAUUAAUUUAAGUCCAACUUAUUAGGUAGAUGAAUCUCGACAUAGAUAGAACAUGAUUUCUACAGCAUGAAUGAUUUUGUCCACCGCUUUCUUCGCGAAUGAAAUUUCAUGUGGAAAGCGAGGAGUUUGCAAAUCGAUUGGCAAGGGUUGAUUUGAAGACCGGCGAAAUUCUAGGAGAAUAAAUGAAAAGACAUGGGCGUUUUGUUGUAUGUCCUAGUUAAUCCCAGUUAGGAAAGAAUCGUACUAUAUUAUUGUAGGAUGGCUCUAAAGAAUCGUAGCAUAUGCUUCUUCCUACUCUUUCCUUACUACCCCGCCCCCCCUCCUUCCUUCCUCUCUUCUUUCACUGGCAGCCAAUUUUGACUUUGAUGUCUGAUUUUUACGCGGGCAUAUUCUAUUCCACUAAGCUUAUCGCACUUCAGAAAAGCAGAAGCUAUCCUAGGUCUUAAAUAAAAGUACGAGUUUUAGUGAAUUUCUGUCCAGCCCAUCAUCCGUACAACAAAUAUAUGCAAUAGCAAUUUGAGGUUUUAUAUUUGAUUGCCUCGCUUCUCUCUUUCCACUACUCUAGCUUGAUAUUUCAAAUGAGGAAAACCCCAUUAUUUUUCACCGCUUAUCAUCAUUAGCCAUCAUUUGCUUUUGCCCGUUGGUUGAUUGGAAAAAGGAAAAAUUGUGCAAGGCAGCUGCAAAUGUUUUACUAAAUUAAGCAAACAUCUUGGAGAUUCUUCAUAGUCCUUGGUCGUUCUAAUUCACCCAGAGUUCCUCAAGUGGAAUAUAAUUGUUCGCUCUGUGGGACGCUGUGCUGAGACACAGCAAGAAUUAUGCCAGGCUAAAGUGAGGAGAGAAUAGACAUGGGGUCUGUGUCUGUUUUGCCUUUCCAUAAAGGCGGGUGCAAAAAAAUGCAAUGCCCACCAUUGGAUUUGGGCUCUUGAGUUGUUCUCUAUGUAUUCACCUUCUUUCUCUUGGAUACUUCUUCGAGAUUCUCUUAGGGAUUUAGUCAUGUUCCAUCUUUUCUAAAACUGAUGGUUUUAAAUCCUCCAAUGCCACAUUCUACACUUUUUUGGUAUUCAUUGAAUUCGCUUCCCCACUUUGGAAUUGAUUUUUUGAUGAUGAAAAAGUUUAGUUUAAACAGCUAAAUCUUGAUUUUAUAGAAGACUUUUGCUAUAUUGUUUAGAUAAAUUACUCCACAUAAAAUGUUUGCUCUCAGUAGCAUGGAGAAGUGACUCUAUCCGACAGAUCUAAUCCUUAUUCAUGGAGCAAGCCAACCCCAGGUCCGAUCCUUAAUCACUGGACCAAGCCAACCCCGCGAUAUUUGGGAGGGGUUGCCCUUUUCCCGUCCUUUUCAAUCAUUUUUUGUCCUCCCACUUGAAUAUCUGAAAAAGAUAAGUUUCCCGUGAGAUUCUUAGGGUUAAAAUUAGUUCAUUCUUUUAGCUUCGCACCUUGGAACACUUUCUUUAGUUGGAAUGUAGUUCAGAUUCUCAAAUUUGAAUGACCAAAAUAUCUGGCAUGAUUAAAAUAAAAUUGCUUUCCACUCUCUCUCUCUCUCUUCCCCCAUUAACAACCACUAUAAAACCUCCUCUUUGAUGGAUCUUUUAUGUUUUAAUGUUGCUGCAAAGCUACAAUGACAAAAGGCCAUAUCUAACCUAUUUCUGUUAAAUACAUUAGACACCUGUUGUCUCUUAUAUUCACACUAUGCCUUUGAAUUCAAUCAUUAGGAGAGGCUACAAGUGAAUUCAUGCAUAUUUCAGUCAAAAAAAAGAAGAAGUCCUAGAUGCCCUAAUGAGCAGAAUAAUAUGGAUUCAAGAUUUCGUGUUAAGGUUGUAAAGUUACCUAUAAGUGAAUUUGAACCAGUGAAAGCUCAAUCAUCGGAAGCUUUCCCUGCUUUAUGGUAAAGAAAGCAUCGCGUUAAAUGUGCUCGUUUGCCUUUCCAUAAAGGUGAGUGCAAAAAAAUGCAAUGCCCACCAUUGGAUUUGGGCUCUUGAGUUGUUCUCUAUGUAUUGACCUUCUUUCACUUGGAUAUUUCUUGAGAUUCUCUUAGGGUUUCUUUCAUUUUCCAUCUUUUCUAAAACCGAUGGUUUUAAACCCUCCAAUGCCACGUACACACUUUCUUGUAUUCAUUCAAUUCGCUUCCCCACUUUGAAAUUGAUUUUUUUAUAUAACCAAAAAUUUUAGUUUAAAUAGGUAAAUCUGAAAUUUAUGGAAGACUUUUACGAUAUGGUUUAGAUUAAUUACACUACCUGAAAUGUUUACUCUUGGUAGCAUAGAGAAGUGACUAUAUGUCACAGGUCCACUCCUCAAUCACUACACCAAGCCAACCCCAUGACAUCUGGGAGGGGUUGCCCUUUUUCCCUCCUUUUCAAUCAUUAUAAAAAAGAAAAUCAUUUUAUUUUUCGAGAGAUUCUUAGGGUUAAAAUUGCUUCAUUCUUUUAGCUCCCCACCUUGGAACGCCCUUUUAGUUGGAAUACGGUUCAAAUUCUCAUAUUUUAAAUAUUUUCUCCAUAAAAAAAAGUAAUAUCUAUUUUAUUUUUAAUAAAAUUAGAAAUUCUGACUCUUAUUGCCUGCUCAAAUUGAUACUACCCCAUUAUAUCUUUAACAUAUUGGACCAUACUUAAUUUGCAUUCUAAAUUCCCUAUUUGGGCCAUUUAAUCGUGAUUUUUUUUUUAUUUAAUAGUGAUUUUUUUUAAUAAUUCUUUAAAAUAGUCAUUUUAAAUAUUUUAGACCGAGAAAUACUAACAUAGAGAUCCAUGAUUACCGGUUUUUCUAUGUGACACAAAUAUCAUAUGACAUGGAAAUUUGCUUUUAAAUAUUUUUUUGAUUUUCCUCUCUUUUUUUUUGCUUUUUUUUUUUUUUUUGCUUUUUCUACUUUUCAUCUUCCCCAAAAGCCAUACCUGGGCGAUGUUGACCUCGCACUCCCCCGAGAAAGCAUCGAUCGUCUCCGGCCGAUGACCUCAUGAUUGUAGCCGUUGACAUCGGUAGCGAAGAGCUUGAUGAUGUGGUUGGACACUUUGACAGCGGAGGACGAGGAGGAGUGGACAAUGUGGAGGACGACUCGGCGAGGAUGGGCCUGAAGGUAGAGAGAGACAAAAGGUGGUGGAUUGUGGUGAAGAGCUUUUGGAUAGUCGAAAUCACCAUUAUUGCACGCCUUGAAAGUUCGAAAUUGAAAUGUCUUCAAAAUAUUUAUGAUUAAAUUGGCCAAAUUGAAAAUGAAUUGACUGUCAUAAAAUAGGUUUAGGACUAAUUAGAUAAUUUUAUUAUAAAAAUAGACAUGAUUUAAUUUGUCCUCAAAAUGUUGAUUAAGUGAUAAGGGAUUGGUUUCAGAUUUAGUAGGUUUGAACCAUAAAAUCUCUCACUUGGAGUAACUUUAAAGACCAUGAUUGCCACCUUGUGAUUGGAAGGGGCAAUUUGCGUGCAUGUAUUGGUAGCUAGGGAUCUGUCGAAUCGAAAAUUUGAGGAUGAUAUGUAAUUAGAAAAAGCAUUAUGAGUUUGACUUAGCUGCAGAUGCUCUCUAACGCUUCUCUUGGGUACAGCUGGCCGAAUCCUCUCCAAAGACAAACUUGAAAAUUGUAAGCAAACCUCACAUUAGCACUCAAUUGUGGCCUCCCCUAAUCGAGUAAUGCUUAGCAGAGAUUGUGGGCGAAUCUAGCCAAUGAAGGUGAUUACAGCAAUAAAAAAAUUGUAUAUAUUUAGUAAGUUCAUACAAAAAGAAGAUGAAUGCCUACAGGAAAUGAUACAUCUUUUUGUUGUUAUUUCCUUUAUGGUUGAUACUCAAAAGACACCUCUUACAGAUGGGAGGGCGUCGAAUAAUUCCUUCCGUGAUUUGCAGUACAAGCUGGGCUUACCAAAUUAAGGAAAACAAACACCCCCCUCUCUUUUUUUGUAUAACAAGUGCUCUAUAGUACCUAGGUAAAUGCCAAGAAUGGUGCCCCCAUGUUGAUUGCAGAAAAAAAAAUGUUUAUUAACUUGUAAUCAAGGUGUUAUUGUAAUUUUAAAUCCAAGAGAAAUAUAUACAUGAGAUCCAUUGAUUAACAUUCACUCAUGUGUUUACAAUGGAUUUGCCGGUGUAGAUUAGGUACACAAUGCGGGUUUGAAUCUCUGUGCUAUCGGAUGCAAAUGAUUCAAUAAAGAUUUGGACAGAAAAAUAAUAAAUCUAACGCGUCAAGAAAAAAGAAAAGAAAAAACAAUUUAAGUAACUUGUAAAAAAUAAAUAAAAAGAAACAAUGAAAGGGAGGCUUGAGGGAGUGAUACGUGUACUCCCCAAAACCUUUAAUUAGGAUGUUUUUUAGGGUGGAGAAUAUCUGUACCGCAAAAGGGUUACACCAACUUUUGUUCUGUAAAGGCUUACUCCUUUUGAGGAAAAAUUAGAACUCUCGUGGUUUAAAAAAAAAAAAAAAAAAAGGAAACACCAAAUAAUUAGAGCCCUCAAUUAAUUAAUGAGUUCACUAACUAAAACGUUCGAGACGAGAAUCCUAGUGCUUCUUUUUUACCACCUUCUCUACCGAUCUUUUCUCCUUUUCUUCCUUUAAUUUUCAGCUGCCUAACAAUAUUGAGGGAAAAUAAUACUACAUAGAUCAUAACUUUUAUAUGGUAUUAUUUAAGUGCCAUAACAUCUUUAUCGAUCACUUGAGUAACGUAACUUAUGUGAUUGUAUGGUGUUUACUUAAGAGCCGUAUAUUUUUUUAUCCUGCCUAUAUCCCCAUUAUAUCCAACUUUAUCCUCUCCUAAGUAAACACCAAACGUAAAAUAAGAUAAAUCAUAUUCUAUCUUGAAUUUUAUCCCGACUGCCAAACGCAGACUAAAUGAUUAACAUACAACAUAACAGUAGAUAUAUCACGAGCGAUUUGCAAAAAUCAACAUAUUAAAUGAUUCAUAUUUUAUUAUUCUACUCUCUCAUUCAGUACGCAGAAUAUGUACUUCUACACAAUCACAAUAAUGUAUGGAUAAUAAUUUAGAAUUGAAUUUGCAAAGAAAAAUAAAAAUUUAAAACCAUAGAAGUUUUAACGAAUAAUGUGAUUCGUGAAUGGAAAAGGGGUGAUUCCAUGGAUGAGAAGAAAGUGCAUGGGAUGCUUCCCAGGAUUAAUUUGUCAUUGAGUCUUCAACCACACUAAAGCGAGGAGGAUACAUCUUUCUUGAAAAGCAUCAUUUUGCCGUGUUGUGGUGGAUUUUGCUAGUUUCACAUGUAAUUUACAGAAUGUGAAAAGUAAGGGACAAAAAGGGUUCACACAAUAAUCAUAAUUGGAAAGCUUGCACCUUCUGAAUAUCAAAUUUGAGAAAGUCAUAACUCAACCCAAAAUUUUAAAAAUCGCGACUAAAUUUUUGAAAAAUGAUUACAGUAAAAUUUACGAACCUCGAGAAGGAAAAAAUUAUAAAAAAAUCCAUUAGGUUUAUGCGAGGAGAGAGCUCUUCAAAGCGCAAAAACCAAAAAACCACAGAGGAGAGAGCUAGAGUUCAUCGAUACUGCUCUUCAUAUAUACUGCCCUUUAGUGCCUUCGCAGUAAUUUAGCUACUAGUAUGGGAGGCAACAACAGGCAGAAGAAAUCUUCAUCUUCUUUCUCGCUCAUGACCAUGUUCAAGCCUCGGAGGGCGCGCCGGGAUGAUGCUUGGGAGGGGGACUCCGUAAGCUCGAAGAAAACAUAUACGAGCGACUACGACAAGGGCAGAUAUGUUGCGGAGCCCGGCAUCGACAAGAAAGCCACGGCCUUCAUCGCCAAAUUCCAUGAGACCCGAGUCAUGGAAUCCGAACGCCAAGUCAUGGAACCCGCUUCCCGAAUUGGCUUCUACUGAGAGUUGUAUAUGUUUGUUCAAAAUCUUCUUUAGUCUCUGGACUAUUUGUUGUACCUUGUAUAUGUAUGUAGCUUAAUACAAGUGCUGUCCUCUAAU
This 8024-nucleotide long non-coding RNA is filed under the name Eucalyptus grandis. Its description in RNAcentral is "long non-coding RNA (EGRA_LNC004673)". The record is from RNAcentral. Lineage: Eukaryota; Viridiplantae; Streptophyta; Magnoliopsida; Myrtales; Myrtaceae.